GGCAAAAGCUCAAAUUUGAAAUCUGGCCUCUGCGAGGUCCGAGUUGUAAUUUGGAGAGGAUGUUUCGGGCACGGUCCGGGCUUAAAUUUCUUGGAACAGAAUGUCACAGAGGGUGAGAAUCCCGUCUGGAGUCCGCGGCACGGCCUAUGUGAAACUCCUUCGACGAGUCGAGUUGUUUGGGAAUGCAGCUCUAAAUGGGUGGUAAAUUUCAUCUAAAGCUAAAUAUUGGCCAGAGACCGAUAGCGCACAAGUAGAGUGAUCGAAAGAUGAAAAGCACUUUGAAAAGAGAGUUAAACAGUACGUGAAAUUGUUGAAAGGGAAGCGCUGGCAACCAGACUUGCGCGUCGGGGCUCCCCCUCGCUUCUGCUUGGGUUACUCUCCGGCGUUCAGGCCAACAUCAGUUUUGGGGGUUGGUUAAAGGCUCUGGGAAUGUAUCUACCUCUCGGGGUAGACUUAUAGCCCAGGGUGUCAUGCAGCCUCCCGGGACUGAGGAACGCGCUUCGGCUCGGAUGUUGGCGUAAUGGUUGUCAGCGACCCG
This 538-nucleotide ribosomal RNA is filed under the name Cyphellophora ludoviensis. RNAcentral's name for it is "eukaryotic LSU rRNA". It matches the Rfam family "Eukaryotic large subunit ribosomal RNA", at positions 100 to 651 of the family's 3401-position model. The record is from RNAcentral. Lineage: Eukaryota; Fungi; Ascomycota; Eurotiomycetes; Chaetothyriales; Cyphellophoraceae.